UACAGAGGGUGCAAGCGUUAAUCGGAAUUAUUGGGCGUAAAGGGCUUGUAGGUUGUUAUAUAAGUUAGAUGUGAAAAUCCUGGGCUUAACCUGGGACGUGCAUAUAAUACUGUAUAGCUAGAGUAUGGUAGAGGAGUAGGGAAUUCCUGGUGUAGCAGUGAAAUGCGUAGAGAUCAGGAAGAACAUCAGUGGCGAAGGCGCUACUCUGGACUAAUACUGACACUGAGGAGCGAAGGCGUGGGGAGCAAACAGG
RNAcentral lists this ribosomal RNA (253 nucleotides) under uncultured bacterium. Its description in RNAcentral is "partial 16S ribosomal RNA". It matches the Rfam family "Bacterial small subunit ribosomal RNA", at positions 524 to 776 of the family's 1533-position model. The record is from RNAcentral.